Molecule: long non-coding RNA, 649 nt
Organism: Nannospalax galili (Upper Galilee mountains blind mole rat)
Lineage: Eukaryota; Metazoa; Chordata; Mammalia; Rodentia; Spalacidae
Exons: 5
Source: RefSeq, a predicted model, not a curated record
GGGCUAUCAGUUUGACAUUUCCCUCUAGUUCUGCAUGGAAACUAAAAUACCAUUUAAGUCUUCUUCCAACAUUUCUCAAAUCAUAAAAAAUUAGAGCCACUGGAUUCUAUCUCAAGAACCAAUGAAGUGCCAGGCAUCCUAUGCACUGCAAAAAAAUGAAAGGCGAACAAGGCACUUCCUCUGCACUUUAAAGGUCUUCUGGGGCUAAUCUGAACACUUAAUCAUCAACAAGUCCAUUGCCUGACUGGUUUGAAAAUGGUUUUCUGCCUGAGACAGGCAAAGCUACGCAGGAGUCUGAGGUGGAAAGGAAGGUCCAUAGGAAGCAGCAGCAUUAAGCCACAUCUUUGUGAAAGGAGUCCUUCUGUGUAUGCUCUCCCCGCAUUGCAUUGUCACAGCCUGAGAGAGCUGACACCCAGCCAGGAAUCAGAACGCUCUUAUCAUUCCCAGACUACUUCGCCUUGCUGUGAACACCAGGCUGGUGGGAGGGCCACAAACUGUUCUCUCAAGCUUCACUCCAGUCACCAGUCUGGCAUGUCUGUAGUGUUCUAGCCCCAUUCUGGCCCUUCACACCACUGGGAAGUCCCCCUUGGAUUCCAAAAGAAAAUUAAACUCCUUGGAAUCCAAAACUAAUAAACUUUCAUGGAGCGGU